Molecule: long non-coding RNA, 1081 nt
Organism: Hemicordylus capensis (graceful crag lizard)
Lineage: Eukaryota; Metazoa; Chordata; Lepidosauria; Squamata; Cordylidae
Exons: 2
Source: RefSeq, a predicted model, not a curated record
CAGCUCCCGGUGUCACAUGCUCCUCCAUAGGGGGCUGGGGCAAACGAGCCGCGCUGCCUAAAGCAGCAGCGAUCGGCUGGCGUCCUUCCAUCAGCAGUUCUGCAGGGAAUGCCUCACCCAAUCCACAGAAUGCCUCCCAAACCGUGAAAUAUUGCUGGGGAUUUAAAGAAAGAAAGAAAGAAAGAAAGAAAGAAAGAAAGAAAGAAAGAAAGAAAGAAAGAAAGAAAGAAGGAAAGAAAGGGACCCUCCUGACAAAAUGGCAGCUGGAAGUGACCGCCACGGACACUUCCGGCCCUCUAGGAACCGUGGAUAUGUGGGUUUCAACCCUUUCGUAUCCACAGAUAAUGAAACUGGGUGUCAGUUAGACACCCAUGAAUACAUGAACUUGUGGAUAUAGAGUCCGUGUAUAACAAGGUUUGCCUGUAUUGUUCCUUUUAUAAUGAUUGUUGUAAUAGAUUUAUAACUCUCUUGUUACUGGAUUUUCCUGGCUGAGAAAGCUCUUGCUAUCAGAUAUUAAGCCUAUAUGUAUUCAUUCAUUCAAUUUAUAUGCCGUCCUUUCGAAAGUGGUUUAGGAUAGUUUACAUUUUCACUCACAAUGUGGUUAAGUUUUGUGUGGCAGUAGUUAAAACCUGUCAGUAGUUAACAGCAGCUAACAAGUAAAGUAAAGUAAAGUGUGCCGUCAAGUUGAUUUUGACUCCUGGUGCCCACAGAGCCCUGUGGUUUUCUUUGGUAGAAUACAGGAGGGGUUUACCAUUGCCAACUCCCACACAGUAUGAGAUGAUGCCUUUCAGCAUCUUCCUAUAUUGUUGCUGCCAAAUAUAGGUGUUUCCUAGGAAACAUACCAGCAGGGAUUCGAACUGGCAACUUUUUGCUUGUCAGUCUAGCAUUUCCCCACUGCGCCACCAAUAGAUAUGGUAGAGAAACCUUCUAGUGUGGGAAGUUGGGUCUUACUAUGAUAUUGUAAUAUUGUUCUGUAUCUGAUCUAUCUGAUGGUAAUAAAUUGAUUGAUCUGUACAGAUCUGUAAGAUUUACACAUUAUGCUCCAUGCAUGUACAAUAGUAAAAGUUCUAUAUAUACUCUG